GGAUCGCAUUAUGGUCAUUUUAUAUGGCUGGCGAUAGAUCAUUCAAGUUUCUGACCUAUCAGCUUUCGACGGUAGUGUAUUGGACUACCGUGGCAGUGACGGGUAACGGGGAAUUAGGGUUCGAUUCCGGAGAGGGAGCCUGAGAAACGGCUACCACAUCUAAGGAAGGCAGCAGGCGCGCAAAUUACCCAAUCCUGACUCAGGGAGGUAGUGACAAGAAAUAACAACACUGGAAAUUUUAUUUCUAGUGAUUGGAAUGAUGGGAAUUUAAACCCCUUUCAGAGUAACAAUUGGAGGGCAAGUCUGGUGCCAGCAGCCGCGGUAAUUCCAGCUCCAAUAGCGUAUAUUAAAGUUGUUGCAGUUAAAAAGCUCGUAGUUGGAUGUCUGCUGGAAGCAAUCAGUCCGCCCUAUUUGUAGGGUGUGCACUUGAUGAAUUCUGGCAUCUAUAUCCCAAUAAUAUGAUGGUGUAUACCCUGUGUACACCCAUCUAUAUUGGGAUAAUACCGUUACUUUGAGAAAAUUAGAGUGUUUGAAGCAGGCUAAUUGCCUUGAAUACUGCAGCAUGGAAUAACAAUAUAGGAUUUCGGUUCUAUUUUGUUGGUUUCUAGGACUGAAAUAAUGAUUAAUAGGGACAGUUGGGGGCAUUCGUAUUUAACUGUCAGAGGUGAAAUUCUUAGAUUUGUUAAAGACGAACUACUGCGAAAGCAUUUGCCAAAGAUGUUUUCAUUAAUCAAGAACGAAAGUUAGGGGCUCGAAGACGAUCAGAUACCGUCGUAGUCUUAACCAUAAACUAUGCCGACUAGAGAUAGGAAAAUGUCAUUUUUCUGACUUCU
RNAcentral lists this ribosomal RNA (833 nucleotides) under Sarcocystis cruzi. RNAcentral describes it as "SSU rRNA". It matches the Rfam family "Eukaryotic small subunit ribosomal RNA", at positions 260 to 1079 of the family's 1831-position model. Lineage: Eukaryota; Apicomplexa; Conoidasida; Eucoccidiorida; Sarcocystidae. The record is from RNAcentral.